Molecule: unclassified non-coding RNA, 238 nt
Filed under: uncultured Ascomycota
Lineage: Eukaryota; Fungi; Ascomycota
Description: sequence contains ITS2
Source: RNAcentral
AACGCACAUUGCGCCCCUUGGUAUUCCGGGGGGCAUGCCUGUUCGAGCGUCAUUACAACCCUCAAGCUCUGCUUGGUAUUGGGCCUCACCCGGAAGGGCGUGCCCUAAAAUCAGUGGCGGUGCCAUCUGGCUCUAAGCAUAGUAAAUCUCUCGCUAUAGGGUCCUAUGGUUACCUGCCAACAACCCCCAAUUCUUUCAGGUUGACCUCGGAUCAGGUAGGGAUACCCGCUGAACUUAA